AACUUUCUAGUUUAGUAUUUUUAAUUGUCAUAAGUUAUUUCCCUUUGUUAAUUUUUAGUUUGUGUUUACUUUACCGUCGAUAUAUCGAAGUGAACAUGUGUUACUACUAUCUUUAAUUAAUGUCAUUUCCAUUUCAACAAUUAUUUUAUUUAAUCGCUUAUUAUUUUAGUUCUUGCAAAUUUUAUGCUUCUUAAUUAUAGCUAUUAGUUUUAAUUAUUUUCAUUAACUGUUGUAUAGCCUUAGGAGCAUUUACCUGCAGGAAUCUUAAGAAAAAGCUGAAAAUUU
Molecule: long non-coding RNA, 285 nt
Filed under: Lathyrus oleraceus (garden pea)
Lineage: Eukaryota; Viridiplantae; Streptophyta; Magnoliopsida; Fabales; Fabaceae
Description: Pisum sativum (pea) long non-coding RNA (PSAT_LNC014169)
Source: RNAcentral